RNAcentral lists this unclassified non-coding RNA (1648 nucleotides) under uncultured fungus. RNAcentral describes it as "sequence contains 18S rRNA gene, ITS1, 5.8S rRNA gene, ITS2, 28S rRNA gene". The stretch from base 642 to 1648 matches the Rfam family "Eukaryotic large subunit ribosomal RNA", at positions 1 to 961 of the family's 3401-position model. The record is from RNAcentral. Lineage: Eukaryota; Fungi.
GGAAGGAUCAAUACGAGUUAAUACCACCAGCCGCCAGCCACGUAGUGGAUGGGGGGUGAGUGGAAAGGUGGGGUGGGGUAAAAGCCACUCUACCACAUAUGCACAGGGUGUCUUGAUGGGUUGGAUUAGUUAUCUAUCUGACUCGCAAGGGACCCUGAUGUUUACGCUUGUAAGUUUGACAGAGUCUAGUAUCACUUAUAAUGACAACUUUUAACAAUGGAUCUCUUGGCUCUUGCAACGAUGAAGAACGCAGUAAAGUGCGAUAUGUAGUGCGAUUUGCAUGAAUCUGUGAGUCAUUUAAUCUUUGAACGCAACUUGCGCCCCUUGGGGCAUGUCUGUUUGAGGGCCAUGAAACUUGUAUGCGGUGGGUGGGUGUGUGCAGUACGGUACAGUUUUGUAUUGUAUUGUACAGGCCUGGCACAUUGCAAGCGUAUUGACGGUAGUCUGUUGACGUUGGUCUGGUAACAGUCUCGUCGUCUCUAGACUCUGUUUAAAGGUAGCCAGUGACCGCGACGGCGUCCAGCCCUAGUGCUAAGCAUUCUUGGAUUGGGCGGUGGAGCGAAAGUGUGGGUGGAGGUAGAUGUAGAGGUAGGUGGGAAUCCAUCCAUCAUCAUCAUCCAUCAUCCACACCCUUUUAUCCAAGGCCUCAAAUCAGUCAAGACUACCCGCUGAACUUAAGCAUAUCAGUAAGCGGAGGAAAAGAAACUAACAAGGAUUCCCCUAGUAACGGCGAGUGAAGCGGGAAAAGCUCAAAUUUAAAAUCUCGGCACACGGCGUGUCGCGAAUUGUAGUCUAAAGAGAGGACGGUCUAGGUCAAAGAGGUGCUCAAGUCCCUUGAAAUAGGGCGCCAAAGAGGGUGAGAGCCCCGUGACAGCACCUCGUACACCGCAAGUGAUCACCUCUCGACGAGUCGAGUUGUUUGGGAAUGCAGCUCAAAGUGGGUGGUAAAUCUCAUCCAAGGCUAAAUAUUGGCAAGAGACCGAUAGCGAACAAGUACCGUGAGGGAAAGAUGAAAAGCACCUUGAAAAGGGAGUUAAACAGUGCGUGAAAUUGUUAAAAGGGAAACGAUAGAGACCAGAGUUGGAGGGAGCUUUAAGCCGGAGCCUCGGUUCCGGUAGCGAGAACCCUCCGAGUCAAUGCCAGUUGCAGCAGCCGGAUAUAGGCAAGAGAAAGGUGGUGUCGGCUCUCGGGUCGACGCAUUAUAGGCUCUUGACACUUGCGGCAGCAGCGACCGGAAGCGAGGUGGGGAGGGCGAAUGUACCUAGUCAGUUGGCUUGGUUAAUUCGCAAAUCGCCCUCACAACGCGCCUUUGACAAAAUGUUCUUUAACGACCCGUCUUGAAACACGGACCAAGGAGUCUAACAAUCUUGCAAGCAUUAGAGUGGCAAACUCGGGUGCGUAAUAAAAGUAAAAGCGUGCGAGCGACGUGGUUCAUCCACCCGUGCAGCACGGACCGGCCUCUCGCUAUUGAUAGGACCGAGUAAGAGUAGGAUUGUUGGGACCCGAAAGGCGGUGAACUAUGCCUGACUAGGGCAAAGCCAGAGGAAACUCUGGUGGAGGCUCGUAGCCGUUCUGACGUGCAAAUCGAUGGUAAAAGUUGGGUAUAGGGGCGAAAGACUAAUCGAACCGCCUAGUAGCUGGUUCCUUC